GAGCUUGCUCUGUGGGAUCAGUGGCGAACGGGUGAGUAACACGUGAGCAACCUGCCCCUGACUCUGGGAUAAGCGCUGGAAACGGCGUCUAAUACUGGAUAUGUGACGUGACCGCAUGGUCUGCGUCUGGAAAGAAUUUCGGUUGGGGAUGGGCUCGCGGCCUAUCAGCUUGUUGGUGAGGUAAUGGCUCACCAAGGCGUCGACGGGUAGCCGGCCUGAGAGGGUGACCGGCCACACUGGGACUGAGACACGGCCCAGACUCCUACGGGAGGCAGCAGUGGGGAAUAUUGCACAAUGGGCGCAAGCCUGAUGCAGCAACGCCGCGUGAGGGACGACGGCCUUCGGGUUGUAAACCUCUUUUAGCAGGGAAGAAGCGAAAGUGACGGUACCUGCAGAAAAAGCGCCGGCUAACUACGUGCCAGCAGCCGCGGUAAUACGUAGGGCGCAAGCGUUAUCCGGAAUUAUUGGGCGUAAAGAGCUCGUAGGCGGUUUGUCGCGUCUGCUGUGAAAUCCGGAGGCUCAACCUCCGGCCUGCAGUGGGUACGGGCAGACUAGAGUGCGGUAGGGGAGAUUGGAAUUCCUGGUGUAGCGGUGGAAUGCGCAGAUAUCAGGAGGAACACCGAUGGCGAAGGCAGAUCUCUGGGCCGUAACUGACGCUGAGGAGCGAAAGGGUGGGGAGCAAACAGGCUUAGAUACCCUGGUAGUCCACCCCGUAAACGUUGGGAACUAGUUGUGGGGUCCAUUCCACGGAUUCCGUGACGCAGCUAACGCAUUAAGUUCCCCGCCUGGGGAGUACGGCCGCAAGGCUAAAACUCAAAGGAAUUGACGGGGACCCGCACA
RNAcentral lists this ribosomal RNA (840 nucleotides) under uncultured Microbacterium sp. RNAcentral's name for it is "bacterial SSU rRNA". It matches the Rfam family "Bacterial small subunit ribosomal RNA", at positions 76 to 927 of the family's 1533-position model. The record is from RNAcentral. Lineage: Bacteria; Bacillati; Actinomycetota; Actinomycetes; Micrococcales; Microbacteriaceae.